CUGAUAUUAUUUUUCUUUCUUCUUGAAGGAUUUAGAAGCUACUGGUAGGUUGUUUUCUUUGGCUGGGUCACUGAUACCUGUUUAGCCUAUGUUAUUAUUGGUGCUACAACGGUACUUGCAGAAGCUUGCUAAGACAUUGUUAAUUUUAAUUAUUAUGCUCAUACUUCAUUUAAAACACUUAUCGUUUGCACCCUGUUAUUGCGGAGAAAUAUGUCGGAUAGUUAUCAAAAGUACCAGGAUAAUAAUUUAAUACGCCAGACGCGCGUUAAGUCUACAUAAGACUCACCAGUUACGCUCAUAUCAAUAUAGUUAAAAGGCCAAGAACGCCAUUAUUAUACUAGUCAAAGCGUGUUGACUGGUAUAAGAAUGAAGAAUGGUCUUCUUGGCCUUUUAACUAUUUUGAUCUGACCUACCCAAUUAAACUAUUUACCGG
RNAcentral lists this long non-coding RNA (433 nucleotides) under Mytilus galloprovincialis (Mediterranean mussel). Lineage: Eukaryota; Metazoa; Mollusca; Bivalvia; Mytilida; Mytilidae. The record is from RNAcentral.